AGGCUGAUAGUCUAUGCAUUCUAGUGGCACUGAGUGGACUCCAGGAGGUUAUACUUUGUAAUGAAGACAUGAAGUGCUUUUCCAUUCGCCUUCCGAAAAGGAAAUGAGCAUCCAAUUCAAACAUAAUUAAAAUAGAAAUUAGCUGACGGUGAUAACUGAAGAAUGAAUCACCCGGUGCUGAAGCUGUGUUUCAUCUUAUAGACUGCUCCAGCCAGCCUUCACUGGACGUCACACAGCACUUUCAGAAAUAGACAUCCAAUUGAAAAUGUAAUGUAAACGCUCCUCUAAAUCAAUGUGUCUUUUCCGUUAGUGCUCAGCUCAGAAGUCAUCCAACUUUCCACAGCAGGCUGCAGAAGACCUGCUCCUGGAUAACACGCGUGUGGAAACAGAACCAGAACCACCACUCCAAAGGACAAAGUUCACUGUCGGCAACUCAAUUCAGCUACUUAAAGUUUGUAAAUACCUAUCAACUACAUUGAAGUUCAGUUUCAAAACUGCCCGAGUAGACAUCUCUCUUCCCUAUUUAUUGCCUCUCAAAGUCUGACUUAGUUUUAUUCCUCUGGCAAGCAGUUAAGCCACAGAAAAGAACCUGGAUUGGCAUUCCAUGAUCAUGGUAACACUCCCUGGCAAUGUCAGACUGCUUAUACCCCACAAUGUAUGAUUUUUUUAAAUUAUGAGAUAACAGUAAAUCUAAGAAAACAGAGAGGCCUUGUUUAGUCCACCUUGGAGAAGCCCAUGUUACUGUGCAGAAGGCAGAAUCCUCACACUGUGCUGAAAACCUCACUGUAACAAAAUGUCAGCUGAGUCAACUCGGUUUGAUCUGUAGGAAGCCAUUCACGGGUCAAGCACUAGCAAGUUGCUACAGCAACUGAAACAAAGGGAAUCCUGAAAAGGCAUGGUUUCCAUAGCCAGAAAAUACUCAAAAUCCAAAAACAGAACUGUACUAUUCCCAAGCUGAUGUUUCCAUUCCUUUGUGGUGAAUCUCUGAAUCAAAGAUAAGCACUAUUCAUUUAAAUUUAUCAAAGUAGGUUCCCUGCACUCUCAAGUCCCAGCAGUGACCAGGAAGGUUUCUAUCAAGACUUAAAGUACAUUUGCAUGCAUGCACAGCAUCGUUUUAGUAAUUGCAAAGAGCCUAUCUACUCUAAUGACAACAACGGGGGCUGGGGACAAUAUAAAUCAAACUUAAUGGCUUCUGCUCAGAUUCCUCUGAAGUUUGGAUCUGAAAUAGUAAUAAACUCUGCCUUUGUGAUUCUAUCACACAACAGUCCUAAGCCAACCAUGAACCGCCCUAGUGCCAAUGCUAAUAAAUCUUUCUUCCAGAGACACGGGAAUUUUCAGAUCAUCGGCUGCAUUUCAAAAGGAAAAAAGUCCUAGGAAGCAAAUUCAGGUUAGAGACAGUUGCAGACCAUGUGGUAUUCUAGAAAAGGAAAGGCAGAACUUUCAUCCUUUGACUUGAAAACCACGGGUUCUCAAGGUAAUCUGCAAAUUUUUCAACCUACAGAAGCGCUUGCUGGUUGACUCCAGGCCCUGGAUAGAAGAUGCAUUCCUUCAAGGGCUGCACUUACCACCGCCUCUCCCAGGAGAAAACCAGAUUAGAAAACCAGCAGCCCUCAGAAGCAUUUGCCUGGCUCUGCUCCGGGCUUUCCACUCCCCACAUUCACGAUCAUAUCCUAUUCCUGUAUAUGGUAUGUGAAUUUGGCUGAGUUGAUAUAAUAAAAUGAAAUGGAAUAAGCAGGGGC
Molecule: long non-coding RNA, 1739 nt
Filed under: Mus caroli (Ryukyu mouse)
Lineage: Eukaryota; Metazoa; Chordata; Mammalia; Rodentia; Muridae
Description: lncRNA (MGP_CAROLIEiJ_G0004217.1)
Source: RNAcentral